CCUACGGGAGGCAGCAGUGGGGAAUAUUGGACAAUGGGCGAAAGCCUGAUCCAGCCAUGCCGCGUGUGUGAAGAAGGCCUUCGGGUUGUAAAGCACUUUCAGUGGGGAAGAAAGCCUUGGGGCUAAUACCCUCGAGGAAGGACAUCACCCACAGAAGAAGCACCGGCUAACUCCGUGCCAGCAGCCGCGGUAAUACGGAGGGUGCGAGCGUUAAUCGGAAUUACUGGGCGUAAAGCGCGCGUAGGCGGUCUGAUAAGCCGGUUGUGAAAGCCCCGGGCUCAACCUGGGAACGGCAUCCGGAACUGUCAGGCUAGAGUGCAGGAGAGGAAGGUAGAAUUCCCGGUGUAGCGGUGAAAUGCGUAGAGAUCGGGAGGAAUAACAGUGGCGAAGGCGGCCUUCUGGACUGACACUGACGCUGAGGUGCGAAAGCGUGGGUAGCAAACAGGAUUAGAUACCCCUGUAGUC
RNAcentral lists this ribosomal RNA (465 nucleotides) under Vreelandella stevensii. Its description in RNAcentral is "partial 16S ribosomal RNA". It matches the Rfam family "Bacterial small subunit ribosomal RNA", at positions 338 to 795 of the family's 1533-position model. Lineage: Bacteria; Pseudomonadati; Pseudomonadota; Gammaproteobacteria; Oceanospirillales; Halomonadaceae. The record is from RNAcentral.